This 233-nucleotide non-coding RNA is filed under the name Clostridium sp. RNAcentral describes it as "T-box sequence". It matches the Rfam family "T-box leader". From Rfam's summary of the family: Uncharged tRNA acts as the effector for transcription antitermination of genes in the T-box leader family. T-boxes are found upstream of many aminoacyl-tRNA synthetase genes and some amino acid biosynthetic genes usually in Gram-positive bacteria. The anticodon of a specific tRNA base pairs to a specifier sequence within the T-box motif, and the NCCA acceptor tail of the tRNA base pairs to a conserved bulge in the T-box antiterminator hairpin. The record is from RNAcentral. Lineage: Bacteria; Bacillati; Bacillota; Clostridia; Eubacteriales; Clostridiaceae.
AUAAAGACGUUGAUGAAGAUAAAGCUAUCAAUAAUUAAUCCAAGAGAGUCGGGGGAGCUGGGAACCGAUAUUAAUUUGAUAGGUAAUGAUCACUUCUGAGUUUUAUGGCUGAAGGUUAGUAAGCCAUGACGGUGGCCCCGUUAAAAGGCUAAGGUUUGAAAGAACCUGAUGAGGCAGUUGCUGUGAAGUGACUGUGAAAUAGAGUGGUAACGCGUAUAUGUAACGCCUCUAUA